GGGGUUGUGGCUCAGUGGUAGAGCACAUGCCUUGCAUGUGUGAGGCACUGGGUUCGAUCCUCAGCACCACA
This 71-nucleotide transfer RNA is filed under the name Marmota monax (woodchuck). RNAcentral's name for it is "tRNA.Ala". It matches the Rfam family "tRNA". Rfam says of the family: Transfer RNA (tRNA) molecules are approximately 80 nucleotides in length. Lineage: Eukaryota; Metazoa; Chordata; Mammalia; Rodentia; Sciuridae. The record is from RNAcentral.